This 384-nucleotide ribosomal RNA is filed under the name uncultured rumen bacterium. RNAcentral's name for it is "bacterial SSU rRNA". It matches the Rfam family "Bacterial small subunit ribosomal RNA", at positions 19 to 363 of the family's 1533-position model. The record is from RNAcentral.
UUGGCUCAGGAUGAACGCUGGCGGCAUGCCUAAGACAUGCAAGUCGAACGAAAUGGCCCAAUGAAGAAUGCGAGCUUGCUCAAUUUUGGAUUUGGAUCACCAUUUAGUGGCACAAGGGUGAGUAACGCGUGGGUAAUUUACCUUCAAGUCUGGAAUAACAGUUAGAAAUGAUUGCUAAUGCCGGAUGAAAUGUUAAACGAUACGUCAUUUUUUAUUAAAAGGUGCCUUUAAAGCAUCGCUUGAAGAUGAGCCUGCGUCGUAUUAGCUAGUUGGUGGGGCAAUGGCCUACCAAGGCAACGAUGCGUAGCCGACCUGAGAGGGUGAUCGGCCACACUGGGACUGAGACACGGCCCAGACUCCUACGGGAGGCAGCAGUGGGGAAUA